AACGAACGCUGGCGGCAUGCCUAACACAUGCAAGUCGAACGAGACCUUCGGGUCUAGUGGCGCACGGGUGCGUAACGCGUGGGAACCUGCCCUUAGGUUUGGAAUAACUCCCCGAAAGGGGUGCUAAUACCGGAUAAUGUCUUCGGACCAAAGAUUUAUCGCCUUUGGAUGGGCCCGCGUUGGAUUAGCUAGUUGGUAGGGUAAAAGCCUACCAAGGCGACGAUACAUAGCUGGUCAGAGAGGAUGAUCAGCCACACUGGGACUGAGACACGGCCCAGACUCCUACGGGAGGCAGCAGUGGGGAAUAUUGGAACAUGGGCGAAAGCCUGAUGCAGCAAUGCCGCGUGAGUGAUGAAGGCCUUAGGGUUGUAAAGCUCUUUUAACCGGGAUGAUAAUGACAGUACCGGGAGAAUAAGCUCCGGCUAACUCCGUG
Molecule: ribosomal RNA, 433 nt
Filed under: uncultured bacterium
Lineage: Bacteria
Description: partial 16S ribosomal RNA
Rfam family: Bacterial small subunit ribosomal RNA
Source: RNAcentral